RNAcentral lists this ribosomal RNA (253 nucleotides) under uncultured bacterium. RNAcentral describes it as "partial 16S ribosomal RNA". It matches the Rfam family "Bacterial small subunit ribosomal RNA", at positions 524 to 776 of the family's 1533-position model. The record is from RNAcentral.
UACGUAGGUGGCAAGCGUUGUCCGGAUUUACUGGGCGUAAAGAGCGCGCAGGCGGUCGUGCAAGUCGCGUGUGAAAGCCCCCGGCUCAACUGGGGAGGGUCACGCGAUACUGCUCGACUUGAAGGCAGGAGAGGGAAGUGGAAUUCCCGGUGUAGUGGUGAAAUGCGUAGAUAUCAGGAAGAACACCAAUGGCGAAAGCAGCUUUCUGGGACGGUACUGACGCUGAGACGCGAAAGCGUGGGGAGCGAACAGG